UACGUAGGGUGCGAGCGUUAAUCGGAUUUACUGGGCGUAAAGCGUGCGCAGGCGGCCCGUUAAGACAGGUGUGAAAUCCCUGGGCUCAACCUAGUAAUUGCGCUUGUGACUGGCGGGCUCGAGUACGGUAGAGGGGGGUGGAAUUCCUGGUGUAGCAGUGAAAUGCGUAGAGAUCAGGAGGAACACCGAUGGCGAAGGCAGCCCCCUGGGCCUGUACUGACGCUCAUGCACGAAAGCGUGGGGAGCAAACAGG
This 253-nucleotide ribosomal RNA is filed under the name uncultured microorganism. Its description in RNAcentral is "partial 16S ribosomal RNA". It matches the Rfam family "Bacterial small subunit ribosomal RNA", at positions 524 to 776 of the family's 1533-position model. The record is from RNAcentral.